This 264-nucleotide ribosomal RNA is filed under the name uncultured bacterium. RNAcentral's name for it is "partial 16S rRNA". It matches the Rfam family "Bacterial small subunit ribosomal RNA", at positions 1155 to 1417 of the family's 1533-position model. The record is from RNAcentral.
UGGNAACAGGGANGAAGGAGGGGAUGACUUCAGGUCGGUAUUGCCCUUACGUCUGGGGCUACAAACACGNUACAAUGGCCGGUACAAAGGGCAGCCAAGUCGCGAGACGGAGCAAAUCCCAUCAAAACCGGUCUCAGUUCGGAUAGCAGGCUGAAACUCGCCUGCUUGAAGUCGGAAUCGCUAGUAACGGUAGGUCAGNUAUACUACCGUGAAUACGUUCCCGGGUCUUGUACACACCGCCCGUCAAACCAUGAAAGUCGCCAA